Molecule: ribosomal RNA, 622 nt
Filed under: uncultured bacterium
Lineage: Bacteria
Description: bacterial SSU rRNA
Rfam family: Bacterial small subunit ribosomal RNA
Source: RNAcentral
CGCAUAACGUCGCAAGACCAAAGAGGGGGACCUUCGGGCCUCUUGCCAUCGGAUGGGCCCAGAUGGGAUUGGCUUGUUGGUGGGGUAACGGCUCACCAAGGCGGCGAUCCCUAGCUGGUCUGAGAGGAUGACCAGCCACACUGGAACUGAGACACGGUCCAGACUCCUACGGGAGGCAGCAGUGGGGAAUAUUGCACAAUGGGCGCAAGCCUGAUGCAGCCAUGCCGCGUGUAUGAAGAAGGCCUUCGGGUUGUAAAGUACUUUCAGCGGGGAGGAAGGGAGUAAAGUUAAUACCUUUGCUCAUUGACGUUACCCGCAGAAGAAGCACCGGCUAACUCCGUGCCAGCAGCCGCGGUAAUACGGAGGGUGCAAGCGUUAAUCGGAAUUACUGGGCGUAAAGCGCACGCAGGCGGUUUGUUAAGUCAGAUGUGAAAUCCCCGGGCUCAACCUGGGAACUGCAUCUGAUACUGGCAAGCUUGAGUCUCGUAGAGGGGGGUAGAAUUCCAGGUGUAGCGGUGAAAUGCGUAGAGAUCUGGAGGAAUACCGGUGGCGAAGGCGGCCCCCUGGACGAAGACUGACGCUCAGGUGCGAAAGCGUGGGGAGCAAACAGGAUUAGAUACCC